GGCUGACUCAUGCCAUUGCCAAUGCAGCA
RNAcentral lists this non-coding RNA (29 nucleotides) under Mus musculus (house mouse). Lineage: Eukaryota; Metazoa; Chordata; Mammalia; Rodentia; Muridae. The record is from RNAcentral.